CGAGAGAACCAUGUCGAAGGAACUCGGCAAAAUGACCCUGUAACUUCGGGAGAAGGGGUGCUCUCCUAUCUUUUUAUUAGGAAAGCAGCACAUACUAGGGGGUAGCGACUGUUUAUUAAAAACACAUGACUCUGCUAAGUGGUAACACGAUGUAGAGUUUGACAUCUGCCCGGUGCUGGAAGGUCAGAAGGAGAAGUGUGAUAAGCUCUGAAUGGAAGCCCUGGUAAACGGCGACAGUAACUCUAACUCUCUUAAUGUAGCAAAAUUCCUUGUGGCAUAAGUAGCAACCUUGGUGUAACGAUUGCCCCACUGUCUCCAACACGGACCCGGUGAAAUUGAAUUCUCCGUGAAGAUGCGAAG
RNAcentral lists this ribosomal RNA (360 nucleotides) under Triticum dicoccoides. Its description in RNAcentral is "rRNA LSU_rRNA_eukarya". It matches the Rfam family "Bacterial large subunit ribosomal RNA", at positions 1691 to 2066 of the family's 2925-position model. The record is from RNAcentral. Lineage: Eukaryota; Viridiplantae; Streptophyta; Magnoliopsida; Poales; Poaceae.